Molecule: ribosomal RNA, 1469 nt
Filed under: Limosilactobacillus fermentum
Lineage: Bacteria; Bacillati; Bacillota; Bacilli; Lactobacillales; Lactobacillaceae
Description: bacterial SSU rRNA
Source: RNAcentral
ACUGGCUCAGGAUGAACGCCGGCGGUGUGCCAAAUACAUGCAAGUCGAACGCGUUGGCCCAAUUGAUUGAUGGUGCUUGCACCUGAUUGAUUUUGGUYGCCAACGAGUGGCGGACGGGUGAGUAACACGUAGGUAACCUGCCCAGAAGCGGGGGACAACAUUUGGAAACAGAUGCUAAUACCGCAUAACARCGUUGUUCGCAUGAACAACGCUUAAAAGAUGGCUUCUCGCUAUCACUUCUGGAUGGACCUGCGGUGCAUUAGCUUGUUGGUGGGGUAAYGGCCUACCAAGGCGAUGAUGCAUAGCCGAGUUGAGAGACUGAUCGGCCACAAUGGGACUGAGACACGGCCCAUACUCCUACGGGAGGCAGCAGUAGGGAAUCUUCCACAAUGGGCGCAAGCCUGAUGGAGCAACACCGCGUGAGUGAAGAAGGGUUUCGGCUCGUAAAGCUCUGUUGUUAAAGAAGAACACGUAUGAGAGUAACUGUUCAUACGUUGACGGUAUUUAACCAGAAAGUCACGGCUAACUACGUGCCAGCAGCCGCGGUAAUACGUAGGUGGCAAGCGUUAUCCGGAUUUAUUGGGCGUAAAGAGAGUGCAGGCGGUUUUCUAAGUCUGAUGUGAAAGCCUUCGGCUUAACCGGAGAAGUGCAUCGGAAACUGGAUAACUUGAGUGCAGAAGAGGGUAGUGGAACUCCAUGUGUAGCGGUGGAAUGCGUAGAUAUAUGGAAGAACACCAGUGGCGAAGGCGGCUACCUGGUCUGCAACUGACGCUGAGACUCGAAAGCAUGGGUAGCGAACAGGAUUAGAUACCCUGGUAGUCCAUGCCGUAAACGAUGAGUGCUAGGUGUUGGAGGGUUUCCGCCCUUCAGUGCCGGAGCUAACGCAUUAAGCACUCCGCCUGGGGAGUACGACCGCAAGGUUGAAACUCAAAGGAAUUGACGGGGGCCCGCACAAGCGGUGGAGCAUGUGGUUUAAUUCGAAGCUACGCGAAGAACCUUACCAGGUCUUGACAUCUUGCGCCAACCCUAGAGAUAGGGCGUUUCCUUCGGGAACGCAAUGACAGGUGGUGCAUGGUCGUCGUCAGCUCGUGUCGUGAGAUGUUGGGUUAAGUCCCGCAACGAGCGCAACCCUUGUUACUAGUUGCCAGCAUUAAGUUGGGCACUCUAGUGAGACUGCCGGUGACAAACCGGAGGAAGGUGGGGACGACGUCAGAUCAUCAUGCCCCUUAUGACCUGGGCUACACACGUGCUACAAUGGACGGUACAACGAGUCGCGAACUCGCGAGGGCAAGCAAAUCUCUUAAAACCGUUCUCAGUUCGGACUGCAGGCUGCAACUCGCCUGCACGAAGUCGGAAUCGCUAGUAAUCGCGGAUCAGCAUGCCGCGGUGAAUACGUUCCCGGGCCUUGUACACACCGCCCGUCACACCAUGAGAGUUUGUAACACCCAAAGUCGGUGGGGUAACCUUUU